UCCACCCCAAGCACUGCCAGAGCAGACAGACUGAAUAGUUCCUCUCCCAUCUGCCCUCACAUUCAAGCUCCACCCCCAUGUAUCCCAGGGCAGCAACUGUGGGAUAUGAACCCCUUACCGUCUCCACCAGCUUUCCCUCCAGAGCCUUGGUGUAAUUCUCAUGGAUGUACUUCUCUUUCCAGUCCUGUAGAGAAUGCAACAUGGAAUGGGAUUCCCAGGCCUGGCCUGAGUCAGCGGUGGUCACCUUAAGCUUAAUAGCCUGGGAUGCUCCCAGGGAGCCUCCAGCCUUCAGGUCCCUCAAAACAUGAGUAGCACUGGGGAUCGAACCCAGAGCCUCAAGCCUGUAGAACAAGAGUACCCCCAAGGGCUACGAUCCUGACAUGUUGGUCACGGGAAAAGCGGAACCAUACUGUUGCAUUAAAACAAAUUCAUCAGGGCAGUUCACAGGGGAGCUCUGGAACCCAGACAGGGACAGGACUAUGCUGGAGACCACAGAGCCUUCUGAAUUUCCAGCCUGCUGCUCCCAAUGCCACGGCCCAUCCGCCCGCCACCAUCCGCCCACCACCAUGCAUGAAGAGAACGCCCAAGCCUGACUCACGCGCCC
Peromyscus maniculatus bairdii (prairie deer mouse) is the source of this 604-nucleotide long non-coding RNA. RefSeq lists it as uncharacterized. NCBI's taxonomy places the organism in Eukaryota, Metazoa, Chordata, Mammalia, Rodentia, Cricetidae. The record is from RefSeq and is a predicted model, not a curated record.